Ornithorhynchus anatinus (platypus) is the source of this 272-nucleotide long non-coding RNA. RefSeq lists it as uncharacterized. The transcript has 2 exons. The record is from RefSeq and is a predicted model, not a curated record. Lineage: Eukaryota; Metazoa; Chordata; Mammalia; Monotremata; Ornithorhynchidae.
CCGCGAGAAAUCCGAGAGAGAGGUCAAUGUGGUAAGCUCUCCGUUUAGAUGUGUACUGAAGGAAUCUUCCUGAUCCAACAGUACCCAUCUGGCAGAGACUGAGCCUUUGAACGGAGACGGAGCCUUAGGGAGGCCGGUUUCGGGAGGGAAAUCCAGCCUGAAGACUCUGCUGCAUACAUGAGCCUGGACAGGAAUCGAUACUUUCCAUUUGGAUACUCCCUCACCCCUUCUGUCAAGGAGGACAUACAAUAUACCCUCAGAGACCAAUUCAA